RNAcentral lists this non-coding RNA (45 nucleotides) under Schistosoma haematobium. The record is from RNAcentral. Lineage: Eukaryota; Metazoa; Platyhelminthes; Trematoda; Strigeidida; Schistosomatidae.
AUCCAGCUGACGAGUUCCAGAUAGGAUGAAACGCCCGUCCUGGAU